GCCGCCUUAGCUCAGUUGGCAGAGCUCCUGUCUUGUAAACAGGUGGUCGUCGGUUCGAUUCCGACAGGCGGCCCA
RNAcentral lists this transfer RNA (75 nucleotides) under Streptomyces varsoviensis. Its description in RNAcentral is "tRNA-Thr". It matches the Rfam family "tRNA". From Rfam's summary of the family: Transfer RNA (tRNA) molecules are approximately 80 nucleotides in length. Their secondary structure includes four short double-helical elements and three loops (D, anti-codon, and T loops). Lineage: Bacteria; Bacillati; Actinomycetota; Actinomycetes; Kitasatosporales; Streptomycetaceae. The record is from RNAcentral.